This is a non-coding RNA of Parasteatoda tepidariorum (common house spider), 766 nucleotides long. NCBI's taxonomy places the organism in Eukaryota, Metazoa, Arthropoda, Arachnida, Araneae, Theridiidae. The record is from RefSeq and is a predicted model, not a curated record.
GACUGUUGUGAUUGUAAAUUCAAAACAAGUGUUGUUCGACUUCGGUAAUCUACUGAGAUAAAUGCCAUCCUUAACUUUUAGUGAGGAACACAUAACUGGAGCAGAAAUAAACAGGCGAUAGCUUCAAAACAGUAUUUUCCUCUUUGCAGCAAUUUCAGAUGUGUUGUUAUUAGCCAAUGAGGUGUUUCUGGUUAUUUAAAUUUUACUACUUUUAAAAAUAAUAUUAGAAGAUUUUUAUGAUGUCAACUCCAACAGAGGAUGAAAACACUAUAGAUUUUAGUUUAUUUGAUCUAGUCAAUAAAGAUUUAAAAAUGAAGAAGCUUCUCAGUCUACUUCUAGGAGUUGUGAAGUAAAAGGAUAUUACGAUCCUUCUGUCAGCGCCAUAUUUCUUCAAGCAACUGGCAUAUCUGAUACAAGUGUUUUAGUUCGUAAAUGUAAAGAGUUAGGAACAGAGUUGGAAACAAAGGUAAAAAUCAAAAUUUGUGUUUUAAUUUACUUCACUUGUUUUAUUUUCACUCACUUGGUUUAUUGAUAACUAAGCAUAUAUUUUAAUUACUUUUCGGGGUUUUUUCCCAACCCUUUUAAAUAUUGACUAAGUUGUUCUCAGUGAUAAAUUGUCAGGAUUUGCUGUCAUCGAUUGCACAGCUCUAGUGUGACCUUAAUAAUCAACCUUAAUUAGGAUAGAUUUAGUAGAAAUAUUUCGUCUAAUAUUAAUACCAAGGCAGUAAGAGAAUUAAAAAAAGAUAACUUAUCAACAUUUUUAUUU